RNAcentral lists this ribosomal RNA (506 nucleotides) under uncultured bacterium. Its description in RNAcentral is "partial 16S ribosomal RNA". It matches the Rfam family "Bacterial small subunit ribosomal RNA", at positions 30 to 523 of the family's 1533-position model. The record is from RNAcentral.
AUUGAACGCUGGCGGCAGGCCUAACACAUGCAAGUCGAACGGUAACAGGAAACAGCUUGCUGUUUCGCUGACGAGUGGCGGACGGGUGAGUAAUGUCUGGGAAACUGCCUGAUGGAGGGGGAUGACGACUGGAAACGGUAGCUAAUACCGCAUAACGUCGCAAGACCAAAGAGGGGGACCUUCGGGCCUCUUGCCCUCGGAUGUGCCCAGAUGGGAUUAGCUAGUAGGUGGGGUAACGGCUCACCUAGGCGACGAUCCCUAGCCGGUCUGAGAGGAUGACCAGCCACACUGGAACUGAGACACGGUCCAGACUCCUACGGGAGGCAGCAGUGGGGAAUAUGGCACAAUGGGCGCAAGCCUGAUGCAGCCAUGCCGCGUGUAUGAAGAAGACCUUCGGGUUGUAAAGUACUUUCAGCGGGGAGGAAGGGAGUAAAGUCAAUACCUUUGCUCAUUGACGUUACCCGCAGAAGAAGCACCGGCUAACUCCGUGCCAGCCGCCGCCGUAA